AAGUCGUAACAAGGUAACCGUAGGUGAACCUGCGGUUGGAUCAUUAACAAAAUUGGUAGUCUUUUUUUUUUAUAAAAAAAAGCUAUUUUAACACCAAUGUGAACUUGUAUUAUUGUUUCUUUUUCUUUUUUUUUUCUUGAUUAAAUAAAUUUUUUUGGUUUGACCAAAAAGUUUUUUUAUUUUGAGGAGGGAAAGAAAAAACCAUUUUAAACUUAAAAAGAAUUUAUAUAUUUUGACCUUUAAAUAAAAGUGUUUUAUACUUUAAAAAAAAAAUAAUUUAAAAAAACAACUUUUGGCAACGGAUCUCUAGGCUCUU
Molecule: unclassified non-coding RNA, 316 nt
Filed under: fungal sp.
Lineage: Eukaryota; Fungi
Description: partial internal transcribed spacer region
Rfam family: Eukaryotic small subunit ribosomal RNA (bases 1-46)
Source: RNAcentral